This 516-nucleotide long non-coding RNA is filed under the name Carica papaya (papaya). RNAcentral's name for it is "long non-coding RNA (CPAP_LNC000781)". Lineage: Eukaryota; Viridiplantae; Streptophyta; Magnoliopsida; Brassicales; Caricaceae. The record is from RNAcentral.
GCGGGAGAGGGUCGCCCGCGCGCUGUGCACGAGUGUGCGCACGUUACCAGGUGUAGGUUGUGCGCACAGUGUGCACGACCAAUUCGCGCGAGGCAUGGGGCUAGUUCUGUGUGCGCAUCUUGUCGUGCACAGACAAGCCCAUCCACCCGCGUCACAUCUUGCGUGAACAGGGUUAGGCUCCGCACAUUGUAUGCGCGUCGUCCGCGCAACAGACCUACAGAGAUAGGCCUAGACGCGUGCAGGCUAGCUCUUGCCCACGGCAGGGGAGGCCAGCACCUGUAAGCUAGGCCUGCAUCGCAUGCUGGCUGGGUGAGGCGCACUCUCUAAAUCACUUAUGUUAUACAUGCAAUUUAACAACUUCAUAGACGAUCAUAAAACAUGCAUUAACAUGUAAAAUUACUUUGUUUAGGCAUAAAAAUUAAUCAUAAAAUCAUUAAUUUUAACUUUAUUAAUUUUACUCUACAAAUACUCCUUAAGUCAUUUAAAAGUAAAUACUAAAUUCCUUACUGAAAUCUU